CAUACCAUUUGCAAAAGUAGACAACCCAAGGUAUUGCAAGUGGGGUAUGUCCAGUCUUUCUUAGUAGCCACUUAGUCACAAACACUGGCCAAAUAUUAGUUUUUUGCUUUUUUUCACACAAAAACAAAUAUGAACGCUAACUUUGGCCAGUGUUUGUGACUAAGUGGCUACUAAAAAAGACUAAACAUACCCCACUUUCAAUACCUUGUGUUGUCUACUUUUUCAAAUGGUAUG
This 234-nucleotide microRNA precursor is filed under the name Pelobates cultripes (western spadefoot toad). The record is from RNAcentral. Lineage: Eukaryota; Metazoa; Chordata; Amphibia; Anura; Pelobatidae.